ACCCGCUGAACUUAAGCAUAUCAAUAAGCGGAGGAAAAGAAACCAACCGGGAUUACCUCAGUAACGGCGAGUGAAGCGGUAACAGCUCAAAUUUGAAAUCUGGCUUCGGCCCGAGUUGUAAUUUGUAGAAGAUGCUUCGGGUGUAGCUCCGGUCUAAGUUCCUUGGAACAGGACGUCAUAGAGGGUGGGAAUCCCGUAUGUGACUGGGUGCUUUCGCCUAUGUGAAGCUCUUUCGACGAGUCGAGUUGUUUGGGAAUGCAGCUCAAAAUGGGUGGUAUAUUUCAUCUAAAGCUAAAUAUUGGCCAGAGACCGAUAGCGCACAAGUAGAGUGAUCGAAAGAUGAAAAGCACUUUGGAAAGAGAGUUAAACAGUACGUGAAAUUGUUGAAAGGGAAGCGUUUGCAACCAGACUUGCACGUUACUGAUCAUCCGGUGUUCUCACCGGUGCACUCAGCUGCGUUCAGGCCAGCAUCGGUUUAGGUGGUUGGAUAAAGGCCUUGGGAAUGUAGCUUCCUUCGGGGAGUGUUAUAGCCCUCGGUGCAAUGCAGCCUACCUGGACCGAGGACCGCGCUUCGGCUAGGAUGCUGGCGUAAUGGUUGUAAACGACCCGUCUUGAAACACGG
RNAcentral lists this ribosomal RNA (622 nucleotides) under uncultured fungus. RNAcentral describes it as "eukaryotic LSU rRNA". It matches the Rfam family "Eukaryotic large subunit ribosomal RNA", at positions 23 to 664 of the family's 3401-position model. Lineage: Eukaryota; Fungi. The record is from RNAcentral.